RNAcentral lists this ribosomal RNA (253 nucleotides) under uncultured bacterium. RNAcentral's name for it is "partial 16S ribosomal RNA". It matches the Rfam family "Bacterial small subunit ribosomal RNA", at positions 524 to 776 of the family's 1533-position model. The record is from RNAcentral.
UACAGAGGGUGCAAGCGUUGUCCGGAAUUACUGGGCGUAAAGCGCGCGUAGGCGGACCUGCAAGUCGGGGGUGAAAGCCCGAGGCUCAACCUCGGAACUGCCUUCGAUACUGCGGGUCUCGAGUCCGGGAGAGGUGAGUGGAAUUCCUAGUGUAGAGGUGAAAUUCGUAGAUAUUAGGAAGAACACCAGUGGCGAAGGCGGCUCACUGGCCCGGUACUGACGCUGAGACGCGAAAGCGUGGGGAGCAAACAGG